UUAAAGUUAAUAAAUUUUUUUAUUAUAUUUAAUUUUCGAUUAAAAGAUUGUCUUUAAA
RNAcentral lists this transfer RNA (58 nucleotides) under Heliconema longissimum. Its description in RNAcentral is "tRNA-Glu". The record is from RNAcentral. Lineage: Eukaryota; Metazoa; Nematoda; Chromadorea; Rhabditida; Physalopteridae.